AGCGCGAACGCUGGCGGCAUGGCUAAAACAUGCAAGUCGAACGCGAAAGGGGGCAACCCCGAGUAGAGUGGCGAAAGGGCGAGUAACACGUUUCUAACGUACCCCAGGGCCAGGGAUAGCUCCCCGAAAGGGGAAUUAAUACCUGAUAUCCCUGCGAGGCCGCAUGGUCUUGCAGGUAAAGGCUUGCCACCCUGGGAGCGGGGAACGUCCUAUCAGCUAGUUGGUGAGGUAACGGCUCACCAAGGCUUAGACGGGUAGCGGGUGUGAGAGCACGGCCCGCCGCAUCGGGACUGAGACACUGCCCGGACUCCUACGGGAGGCUGCAGUAACGAAUAUUCCGCAAUGGACGCAAGUCUGACGGAGCAAUGCCGCGUGCAGGAUGAACGCCCCGUCGGGGUGUAAACGUGCUGUCGAGGUCUAAGGAAAAAAA
Molecule: ribosomal RNA, 430 nt
Filed under: uncultured soil bacterium
Lineage: Bacteria
Description: bacterial SSU rRNA
Rfam family: Bacterial small subunit ribosomal RNA
Source: RNAcentral